GUUUCUGCUAGGAAUGUCUCAUAACUAUUAUACCCAUCGAGAUUGCAAGGCCUCCUGGGUCAGGAGCAAAAACAAGGAGCCAACAGAACGCUUUCCCAGUCACCUUUGGCAGCAUGCUCCCUGCCUGCUCAACGGAUCAUUACAGCGUCAUGCAGCACAAUUCAGCUCAAAGCCAGGUCUGAUCUCUUCCUCUAGAUUAUAGUGUAUAUAAAGAGGACUUACUGGAGGACACUGAGACAGUUUAUCAGCUGCU
Long non-coding RNA from Eptesicus fuscus (big brown bat), 253 nucleotides. RefSeq lists it as uncharacterized. The record is from RefSeq and is a predicted model, not a curated record. The transcript has 3 exons. NCBI's taxonomy places the organism in Eukaryota, Metazoa, Chordata, Mammalia, Chiroptera, Vespertilionidae.